Molecule: ribosomal RNA, 784 nt
Filed under: Stylocellus sp. Peninsula 20
Lineage: Eukaryota; Metazoa; Arthropoda; Arachnida; Opiliones; Stylocellidae
Description: SSU rRNA
Rfam family: Eukaryotic small subunit ribosomal RNA
Source: RNAcentral
UCCUUAGAUCGUACUUUUCUACUUGGAUAACUGUGGCAAUUCUAGAGCUAAUACAUGCAGCAGAGCUCCGACCUUCGGGGACGAGCGCUUUUAUUAGACCAAGACCAAUCGGACYYCGGUCCGUAYGMCACGGCGACUCUGGAUAACUUUGGGCUGAUCGCACGAUCUCGCAUCGGCGAUAUUUCUUUCAAGUGUCUGACUUAUCAACUUUCGAUGGUAGUCUAUGCGCCUACCAUGGUCGUAACGGGUAACGGGGAAUCAGGGUUCGAUUCCGGAGAGGGAGCCUGAGAAACGGCUACCACAUCCAAGGAAGGCAGCAGGCGCGCAAAUUACCCACUCCCGGCACGGGGAGGUAGUGACGAAAAAUAACAAUACGGGACUCUCUUGAGGCCCCGUAAUUGGAAUGAGUACACUCUAAAUCCUUUAACGAGGAUCUAUUGGAGGGCAAGUCUGGUGCCAGCAGCCGCGGUAAUUCCAGCUCCAAUAGCGUAUAUUAAAGUUGUUGCGGUUAAAAAGCUCGUAGUUGGAUCUCAGUUACAGACGGGCGGUCCACUUUACGGUGGYUACUGCYCGGCCUGAACGUCCUGYCGGUUUUUCUCUAGGUGCUCUUCAYUGAGUGUCUAGAGUGGCCKRCACGUUUACUUUGAAAAAAUUAGAGUGCUCAAAGCAGGCGUGACGCCUGAAUAAUGGUGCAUGGAAUAAUGGAAUAGGACCUCGGUUCUAUUGUGUUGGUUUUCGGAACACGAGGUAAUGAUUAAGAGGGACAGACGGGGGCAUUCGUAUU